GGCGACCAUACCGGCGGGGCCACACCCGUUCCCAUUCCGAACACGGCCGUUAAGCCCGCCGGGCCCAUGAUAGU
RNAcentral lists this ribosomal RNA (74 nucleotides) under Isosphaeraceae bacterium. The record is from RNAcentral. Lineage: Bacteria; Pseudomonadati; Planctomycetota; Planctomycetia; Isosphaerales; Isosphaeraceae.